Molecule: long non-coding RNA, 1529 nt
Filed under: Malus domestica (apple)
Lineage: Eukaryota; Viridiplantae; Streptophyta; Magnoliopsida; Rosales; Rosaceae
Description: long non-coding RNA (MDOM_LNC015182)
Source: RNAcentral
AACAAAAAACAACAAAAUUUUAUUUUGAAAAAUUACGUUAUUACUCUUAAACUUUUUUAUUGUGAUAGAAGACUAAAUAGUUUUUUUACCCUUUAUUGGUUGACAAAACAAGUUUUAUUAAUAUGUAAUUUAUUUAGAUAAUGUCGACAAAUUUGGAAAGGUUGCCUAGAUGUGGAACGAAACAAAAACAUUUUAUUUAAAAAAAAUAAUGAAAUCUUAAGUUUGAUUUUUCGCCAAAAACGAAUUUGAAUCACAUUAUUGCUAACCUAUUAUGAGGUUACGCUCAUCCCUUUCCCUUAGUGUAGAAAAUAUCGUUUGUUAAAAAAAAAAUUAAUGAAAUCAUUUCAAAUUUAUAAUGAUACAUCCAAAUUAUGAGUGAGCUUCAAUUUGGUAUGGGAAAUUUAGAAAAUUACGAAGUUUUGGACCCUAUAUAGAAUUAUAAUCACCCCUUUAAUUUUAAGGAAACUAAUGAAAAGGGCUUGAAAACUUUGAGUUUUAAUGAUAAGGACAAAAUAAAGGGUAAAGUGAAUAGUACUAGGAUUGACUUUUUAGUGUAAAAAUGUGGUUUUUCAUUAAAGUGAACAGUACCGGGUGCUUUUCGUUAAAGUUCCCUUAAUUUUAUGAUGAUUACAACCAAAACUUGAUGUAAAAAUACAAACAUACCCUUAAUAGUAUGAUUUCUCACGACAACCAAAACACUACCUAUAAUACGGUAGAUUUGAAUAUAGAUGGAGAAAGCUUUCCAAAUUCCACUUUAUUUUUCGAAAAUUGGCGCCAAUUUGAGAAAUUAAUCUCUAUUACUUUUUGUUUUCAUUAUUAUAUGUAACCUUGAACUAGCUUUAGAUGUCUCAACCUUUAACUACAUCUUUGGAUGUCCGCAACCUUUAAACCAGAAUGAAAUCAUGAAUUAAAAAAAUAAAAAAUAAAAAAUAAAAAACAAAGUCUUUGAGAUUAAAUUAUUAGGCAGCUUGGUAAUUCAAAUAAGAUUCUAAAAUUGAUGGGUGAUUUGAACAAUGAAAUUGCAGCAAAGGUAAAAAUGUGAUUGUAUCCCUUUGCAAAAAUCCGAAAGGUUGCACAAAAUAGUUCAAAAGUUGUAGAGAAUAAUAAAAACAAAAAAGUGACAGAGAUUAAUUCCUCAUUUUAAGGUAGUUUAAAGGUUGUGUUUUGGUUGUUGUGAGAAACCCUAAUAUUAACGGUAUAUUAGUACUUUUACAUUAGUUUGAUUGUAAUUAUCAUAAAAUUAAAAAGAUGGCUAUAAUUCUAUAUAGGUGUUGUAGCCUAUUUUAUCUGACAAGGGGUAGGGGGCCAACAGCAAGGAGAAGAAAUAUUUGAGAGAGAUGUGUUUGUAGAAUUGUAGGGGAAUAUGUGUGUGUUAUCCCUUCUAUAUAGUGUCUUUAUUGAUAGUAGUAAAGGAGAGAAGAAAUUCCUUCAUCCCCAAGGAACACAAGUUGUAAUAGGAAAGGAUAACUAGAAUAAAAUAUAAUCUAGGAUUUACACAAUCACACUUAAACUAAGAAAGUUUACAACAC